Molecule: long non-coding RNA, 5397 nt
Filed under: Canis lupus familiaris (dog)
Lineage: Eukaryota; Metazoa; Chordata; Mammalia; Carnivora; Canidae
Description: lncRNA (ENSCAFG00000056602.1)
Source: RNAcentral
AGAGCAUGAGGCUCUUGAUCUCAGGGUUGUGAUUUCAAGCCCCACGUUGAGUGUAGAGUUUUGUUUUGUUUUUUUAUUCUGUGUGUGUGUGUGUGUGUGUGUGUUUAGAGUUUAUUUAAAUAAACUUUUAAAAAAGGAGCGGGGGUUCCCAAAGACAUGCCAGAGAUUUGUGGAGUCGUUGCAAGCUCCGUAUCAGGUAGGCUCCAAGGAUACGCUAUGGGUUCAUGAGUCACGAGGUUAAAACCAUCUAGAGCCAGUGUGUAGAACAGGAUAAGACACGACGGCCUUGCUCUUGUGUACUGUGGCAAUCAGGCAGGGGCGGCAGGGUAAAGCUCUUAGGAGGAAUGCUUCCUGACGAGGGGCCCAGCCUAGUCCAUAAAAGCAUUUUCCACCUGAAAGGACCUGGAAGUACUUCAAUUCCUGACCCUAAUCAGGCUUUCUAGCCCCAUCAGCCUAGCUGCUGGCCGUGCCACCUCCGUACGUGCUACUGCUUCUACAGCUGCCAAUUUGGGCAGCCUGGCCCCCAAUCCUUAGUCCAGGACCUCUGUUCCCAUACCUGCCACACAGAUUCCCAGCCCUUGCCACCACCCCACCCCCAGCCUUACCUGCCAUUCAGUCCCUACCUUCCAGUCAACUGUUGCCUUUUGGAAACUUAAAACAGGCAGGAGGCAGUCCGGGCCUAGCCUCAAGCCUAACUCCACUGGUUUUAGUGGAAGCAAGAGCAAUAAAAGAAAGCUGUGAUCUAAGAAGCCAGACUCCUUCUCACCUCCCCUUAGUGAGGAGUCUAAGGUCUAUCCAACCUGGUAAGUAAGAGCCAGGAACCUAUAUCAUGAUUUGAAAUUAUUUUGACUCUUCUCCAACUGCACUCCUUUAUAUCCUAAUUAUACUGACUCUCCUGCUUCAGAUAAUUAAGAAGUGAGAUUUCCAUACUCAUAGCCCUUCUGGAAUCCUACCCAACUUCCCUUUACCACCCCCACUCCCAAACACACAUACACUCUGCUCUUGCCUCUCCCUCCACUACUUUUACAACCUGCAGGUGUUUGGUGGAAGAUAAAAGUGGUUCCUGGGGUGAGAUUUCACCUCCUAGAAUUAUCAAAGUAAAGGUUUCCCUUGAUGUGCUCUCUGUGGGUGGCAGUAAUUAUAAAGAAUGAUUUGAAAUACUGGUUUCUACAUUGCUUCAAAAAUCUGAAGUCUCUAAACUUUAUUUGAGUAAUCUUGCCUGAAUCUUAGAGCUCUUCUCAUUGAACUUGUGAAAGACUAGAUGAGCAUUCCUACCCUGGGGGAUCUCCACCUCCACCAGCCUUUUGGGAGCUCUAGAGCUCCACAUUCCUACCACUGGUCGAGGUUCCUGAAAGCUUGCCCUAAUCAGACAGGAGCUGAAAUGGCCCAGCAGAAGUGGUUGAAAGAGAUAGGACUGUGGGGGAGGCAGGAGUAAAGAACUGUGGCAGUGCCCCCGUUGGUCCUCUUCGGAAAUGAAAUGAAAUUUGUAGAGCCCAGGUGAUGCUGUAUGGAAGAAGACCUGCCCUCCGGAAUGUUGUUUGGCUGUGGCUGAAUCACUGCCUCUCCUCUGUCCCUGUGUUUCCACAUCUGUAAAAUGGGAAAGUUAGACUGGAUAACUUUUAAAGGCUCUUUCUCUUCUUGGGUCCUGUGCCCUCUCUCAGAGAUCUCUGACCCUUGGGAUCUGGAUGGCCCAAGAGGCCAGAAGGCUGCUUCUUUUCAACAAAAAGGGGAUGGAGCUGGAUAGGGUUGGGAGGAGGUAGGUGGGGGAAGAGGAGGCGAUGAUUAAACUAUCUCAGAGCCUUCCCAUUCCUCUUCCUGGUCUUCCCCACUGAGAGCCCUUGGAAUCCCUGACUGUAAGAGAAAGGAAAGACCUCUCCUCAGCCUUCCCUUUGCACAAGCGCAUGAGCAGCCCUUCUCCAAGGAGAGGAGGGAACUGGAGAAAACAGAACAAAGUGAGAGUUUCCCAGGGGAAGGCCUGGCUAUUUUUAAGUCCCAGCUGGGAUCAACCCCCAGCCCAGGACACUGCUCCAGGAUUGACUGGAUGCCCAAGAUGCUUUAAUUUCUCUUCUCUUUGGUCAGUUUGCCAGAAGGCAGGGACCAUUUUUGUUUCCUUUGGACAGCAGCUAGCUACAGAGAGUUUGAAUAUAUCUAAAAUAUAGUGAGCAACUGAAUUUCCACUGGCCAGCCACCUCUCCAUGGGACAGAAGUCAGAGAGUUGCCUGCCCUGCCUCUCCCAAUGAUGCUCCAUGAGGGAAGUGGAGGAGAAAAGGAAGGGGGCUUUUAGUGCCAAUGAGGGAGCACUCUGGGGAGGUGUUGAGCAACAACACCUGGGGUUCUGGGAGCUUGCCAGGUCAGACAAAAUUUGAUGUCUACUACUACAGGAACCCCUCCCUGAGUACACCUCACCCCCACCUGCUGGCAAGAGCUCCUGAGCCAGUAAAGGGACUGACUGCCAAAACUGCCCUCCAAGCUUUUUCCCAAGGCCAGAGGCUGAACUUCUUCCCAGCCCUUCACCACAUCACUCUUACUAUCCCACUCCAUUCACGGAGGUGAGGGGUGGGGGGUAGCAGAGGAUUGUCUAGCUGGAGCCUCAAGAGCAAUCUAGGGGCCUGCACAGCCUAGUUUAUAAACUGUUUCUAUUUCCAGAGGAUUGCAGAAAGCACACUUUCUUUAUCCACAGCCAUCCCUACCCCUAAGAAGGUAUAUAAGCCAGGCCUUUGUAUACUGCCUUCUAAAUAGUUAAAUAUGUCUGAGGAAUAGGGAGUGGGUGUGGGAAGGACCACCCAGACACAGGGUCUAGAAAACUUAGCUCUGAUGGAGCUCACAGGGAAGGAAAGAGUCUGGGCAGGAGAACGCAUUCUACUUGCAGCCAGGAAGACUUGUCCUUGACCUGAGCCGUCUGCCACCACCCAGAAGGACUGCAUCAGGGGUUUUCUGCUGUGGACAAAUGGGGAGAUUCUGUUUUGAUUCUCAGCCUCUCUCCUUGCCCCACCCUCAAGGUAAAAGGCCAUUUUCUGAUCUCUGGUUGUAGCCUCUGACACUAGAGACUCGACAGGUGCUAUUGCAGUCCCAGGCUUAGCCAUUAAACAUAAUGGAUGGCAGGGUGGGUGGGAGAGUUGGUGAUACCAAGGCUCCCUGCUACCCUCUUCUACAUCUCAGGGCUACUGACUCUGCCUGGCUCAGAUACCAGAAGCCAGCCCAAAGCAUUAGUGAGAACCCUGGGGAAAUGCCAAGGAAAGAAGGCCUGCCUUUGUUCCUCCCACAUGGACCAUACCCGGAAGCCAGGCUAGUUAUUUUCCAACAGUGUGUUUGUAUGUGUGUUUGACCUCACUUUUCCUGGUACUGUCCUUAGCCACAUAUAUUAUCUCAUUUAUCCUUAUGUCAAUGUCAUAGAUCAUGUGACUUGCCCAAACUCUCAUAAGCAAUACAUGAAAGAUCUAGACCUUGAACCAUGUGUCUCCUUUUCGAUUUGAUCAUCCUCCCACCUCUCCCAUCCAACCCUCUAACUUAAACCUCACUGAGUAUUCCAGGUCACAGUAGUUUCUCCUGUGGUCUCUGUGCCCCCCCGCCAGAUUAUGAACUUUGAAAAAGCAGGUACCCUACAAACCCAGAGCUUAGCAAGGAGCGGACACGUAACAGACCUUAAGGGAUAUUUGUCUCAAUCAGUAAUUAGAUUUACUCCUUGGUGAUAAUGAAUUAAUUACAUUGCUUUUCUCUUUUGUUAUUCUUUGGAGAACUACUCUGGUCUGAGCCCAAAACACAUUCCCAGACCCAGUGGAUGUGACACUGAACCAGGCUGUUCCACAGUGAAGCAGGCUGCUUAUAGAGAGAGAAGAGGAGCUUCUACUUCCCUUCCUGUUCCCUGGGGUCUGUGGCUUUAGCUCUCCCUGGCUGAGUUCAUCUCCACUCAGGAAAUCACUUUGUUGGGGAAAAGAAAGGUCAUCUUGGAGCUUGGAGCAGCCAGAGGGCACUAGGCCCUGCGUUGGAAUGGUUAGAACUGCAGACCAGUUUCUCCCACACUGGUCUUUGGCAAGAAAUUUUCCCAGCAGACCAGCCCUGCCCUAGAAGCAUCCACAGAAAUGCUGGACUUCACCACAGUUGUUAGCAAUGGUGGGCCUGUGGUAGAAGCAGAGUCCCAAGGCCCAGGCGAUUACAAAUCUUUCUCCAUGGACUUGAUGUCUUGCAGAGUCUGGUAAGAGGGAAUGAGGUCUCAAAAGUUACUUACAGCAGUCUGUCUGCGUGGAUAUCCAGCCAUACUCACCUGUAGCCCCAAGAGCAAUCCAGGGCCCUAUACAGCUAGUUUAGAGGCCAUUUCUAGACCCAGAGAAUUGCUGAGGGUACACUUUCUUUUUUUCUUUUCUUUUUUUUUUUUUUUUCUUUUUUUCUUUUCUUUUCGGCUUUAUUUUAUUUUGGCAGAGCACGAGCAGGGGGAGGGGCAGAGGGAGGAAGAAAGAGGGAUAAGCAGACUCCCUGCUCAGCAGGGAGCCUGCUGCCAGGCUCCAUCGGGGACUCUGGGAUCAUGACCUGAGCCGAGGCAGACAGCGAACCACCGAACCACCAAACCACCGAACCACCGAACCACCGAACCACUGAACCACCGCCUGAGCUACCCAGGCGCCCCGGAGAGUACACUUUCUUGGAUCCUCCGAUUCUAGGAUGCUGCUGGGGCGCACUUUGUUUAUCCAUGACAGGAUAACCGGGAAGACGAAAGUGCUAGGUAUAUAUGCUGCUUUUCUUUUUUUAUAUAUAUAUAUAAGAUUUUAAUUAUUAAUGAGAGGGCACCCCGGGUGCCUCAGCAGUUUAGUGCCGCCUUCAGACCAGGGCUGGUCCUGGGGACCUGGGAUCAAGUCCCACAUCGGGCUCCCUGCAUGGAGCCUGCUUCUCCCUCUGCCUGUGUCUCUGCCUCUCUCUCUCCCUGUGUCUCUCAUGAAUGAAUAAAUAAAUUUUAAAAAAUAAUAAUUUUAUUAAUGAGAGAUACAGAUCCGGGUCUCCAGGAUCACACCCUGGGCUGAAGGCGGAUGCCAAACCGCUGAGCCACCUGGGCGUCCCAAAUGUGCUGCUUUCAAUGUGUAGUUACUACUGGCCAACAGCCUCAUACAUGUGUUAUUUCCUCUAUAGGCUGGACGAGUGGACCAAUAGAUGUCACAAACCUGUUAGGUGUUAAUCCCCUCAGCGUAAAGUUUCCCUUUCCACAGGACUAAGGCUCUGAAAAUAAUGUUAAUUAAUAAAAUCUUUAUAAAAAAAAAAACGAAAAUAGGGCAGCCCCGGUGGCCCAGCGGUUCAGCGCCGCCUUGAGCCCAGACUAUGAUCCUGGAGCCCCUGGAUCGAGUCCCACAUCAGGCUUCCUAGGCGGAGCCUGCUUCUCCCUCUGCCUGUGUCUCUGCCUCUCUCUCUGUC